UAGAGUAGCCAUUCAAACUGGAUGACAGACAGUAUAGCAAACAAGAAACAAAAAGUGGUGCUCAAAAUCACAUUGUGAUCAAUCAUAGGAGACGGCGAGUUGUAAGCCAGAAGCAGAAUUUGCACCAAAAGUUAGAUUUCAGCAAGCCUAGCUCUCUUCCACUUCCUUCAUCACAUAAAUCAAACUCUCCUGCUCUUGAUGAUAAAUCUGUAAGAGAAAGGAUUGAAGCAGCAAAGAGAAGGCUUCAAGAAGGGUACCGACAAGCUGAAAAGGUGAAGAAGCAACG
Molecule: long non-coding RNA, 286 nt
Organism: Cryptomeria japonica (Japanese cedar)
Lineage: Eukaryota; Viridiplantae; Streptophyta; Pinopsida; Cupressales; Cupressaceae
Exons: 3
Source: RefSeq, a predicted model, not a curated record